This 189-nucleotide ribosomal RNA is filed under the name uncultured bacterium. RNAcentral describes it as "partial 16S ribosomal RNA". It matches the Rfam family "Bacterial small subunit ribosomal RNA", at positions 338 to 524 of the family's 1533-position model. The record is from RNAcentral.
CCUACGGGAGGCAGCAGUGAGGAAUAUUGGUCAAUGGGCGCGAGCCUGAACCAGCCAAGUAGCGUGCAGGAUGACGGCCCUAUGGGUUGUAAACUGCUUUUAUGCGGGGAUAAAGUCACCCACGUGUGGGUGUUUGCAGGUACCGCAUGAAUAAGGACCGGCUAAUUCCGUGCCAGCAGCCGCGGUAAU